This 580-nucleotide ribosomal RNA is filed under the name uncultured bacterium. RNAcentral's name for it is "bacterial SSU rRNA". It matches the Rfam family "Bacterial small subunit ribosomal RNA", at positions 102 to 691 of the family's 1533-position model. The record is from RNAcentral.
AAGGGGCAGUAAGGCAUGGAUAAUCUACCCUGAUGACCGGGAUAGCUGUCCCAACGGGCAGGUAAUACCGGAUGAGCUGGCGGUGCCGCAUGGUACUGCCAGGAAAGGCGCAAGCCGUGUCGGGAGGAAUCCAUGUGAUAUUAGCUAGUUGGUGGGGUAACGGCCCACCAAGGCGAAGAUGUCUAGCGGGUGUGAGAGCACGACCCGCGCCAUUGGCACUGAGACACUGGCCAGACUCCUACGGGAGGCUGCAGUCGAGGAUCUUCGGCAAUGGGCGCAAGCCUGACCGAGCGACGCCGCGUGAGCGAUGAAGGCCAUUAGGUUGUAAAGCUCUGUCGAGGGGGAGCAAGCCGCAAGGUUGAGCGAUCCCUGGAGGAAGCACGGGCUAAGUUCGUGCCAGCAGCCGCGGUAAGACGAACCGUGCGAACGUUGUUCGGAAUCAUUGGGCUUAAAGGGCGCGUAGGCGGGUGUUCAAGUCCGGGGUGAAAUCCUCCAGCUCAACUGGAGAAGAGCCCCGGAUACUGUUCACCUGGAGAGAGGUAGGGGCACAUGGAACUUCCGGUGGAGCGGUGAAAUGCGU